This is a non-coding RNA of Dermacentor albipictus, 1353 nucleotides long. NCBI's taxonomy places the organism in Eukaryota, Metazoa, Arthropoda, Arachnida, Ixodida, Ixodidae. The record is from RefSeq and is a predicted model, not a curated record.
GUAGAUCCUAUGAGGAAUAUUUUUAUUCCGCACACUUAUAAUACGUACCUUUAUUGUGUACCAAGUGACUGCACAUUGAACGCGAUAGUUUUCUAGUACGGGUAUGGACAGCAAGCCUGCAUGACAGCAGGUGCCACCGUUGCUUCUCUGUCCAGAGCCUCGCCCUGGGUGCCUCGGCGCUGCAUCUGAUUCAGGCCACCCGGUACCUGCUCAAACAUAGGCCCGGAGGAGACGGCGCUGAGGCAGCUGAUGAGGUCACUUGCGGUUUCGUGGUCGAGACGCGCAUCGCCAAAUUCAAGUCGAGGCCUCCACCCGUCCCACCCGUGCCAGUGCGCAUCGACUCAUCAGCCCUGCAGACGCGCCGGGACUCUACCGCUGUGGCUUCAGUGGCCGUCCGCAGGGAGUCCACGGUCGUACCCUCACGGAGGGAGUCCAGCGUCGCCUAUCCAGAAUACCUAUAACCUUCCCUCCUUCACCCCCUUCCCUGGAAGUGCCAUAUUAACGGACUUUGGCAUAUCCGCGCGCACAAAGCGACCGCCUCAACACGGACUGAGUGGCAUACCCCAUAGAUAGCCACUGCUAGGGUCUCUCGGGUGACCGCGCUUGUUUCUCCGGACGCUGGCAGUCUUAUGGUGCUCCAGUACCUUCGGGCACAUCACUGGUCCCCCUUUUUUUAAGGCUUCGUUACGAGGGAGCCUUUGUGGGGAAGAUAAUGGAAAAGUACACAACGCCUUUACGGUAUGAUUUGGGCUUUCAGAAAGAGGCAAACGCGCACAAUACACGUCAUAUGCUGGCAAAGACAUUCCCUGGCAGUAGCUCUGCAUUACCAGCAGAAAAGUUACGAUGUUAGAUUCAAGAAUCACGAAUUCAGCAUGCAGACCAACGCCCAUGAAAGUCACCACCUAUGUGAAGUCUGCACACCACUAAAAUAAGCCUGAAUUGAACACCGUUGUGUGCCGCGUGACAAUGCAGCCUUCGGCGUUGCCAGAGUAUUUGAAAACAGAGUUAAAAAGCUGCAAAUAGCAUGGUUCUUAUGUAUUCUUUAAGGAAUCAAUAAGGUGGACAGGAGGACCAGUUGGUUGAAUAGUUUAUUAAAAGCUUUGAAGGUUAUUGUUGGUACACAUGGCCACGGAAGUGGGCACAUUUAGUGUGCAACAACUCGUGAACAGGCGUCCUAUGGGACCGUCGCCUUCACUGUGCACUGUGUAAGUAAUAUUUUGGUGUCGAAUUUGUUUCUCUUUGCCUUGUUUGCUGAUGUUACAAAUAAGACAAAAACAACAGCCGACACGGCAACGUUCGGCCACCAUGGUAUUUCUUUCAUGACCUUUUUUCCCCCUUUCUCUGUCCACUACG